This 468-nucleotide ribosomal RNA is filed under the name uncultured bacterium. RNAcentral describes it as "partial 16S ribosomal RNA". It matches the Rfam family "Bacterial small subunit ribosomal RNA", at positions 28 to 507 of the family's 1533-position model. The record is from RNAcentral.
GACGAACGCUGGCGGCGUGCUUAACACAUGCAAGUCGAACGGAAAGGCCCUGCUUUUGUGGGGUGCUCGAGUGGCGAACGGGUGAGUAACACGUGAGUAACCUGCCCUUGACUUUGGGAUAACUUCAGGAAACUGGGGCUAAUACCGGAUAGGAGCUCCUGCUGCAUGGUGGGGGUUGGAAAGUUUCGGCGGUUGGGGAUGGACUCGCGGCUUAUCAGCUUGUUGGUGGGGUAGUGGCUUACCAAGGCUUUGACGGGUAGCCGGCCUGAGAGGGUGACCGGCCACAUUGGGACUGAGAUGCGGCCCUGCCUCCUACGGGACGCAGCAGUGAGACAUAUUGCCCGAUGGGCGGAAGCCUGAUGCAGCAACGCCGCGUGCGGGAUCACGGCCUUCGGUUUGUAAACCGCUUUCGCCUGUGACGAAGCGUGAGUGACGGUAAUGGGUAAAGAAGCACCGGCUAACUACGUG